Hyla sarda is the source of this 348-nucleotide long non-coding RNA. RefSeq lists it as uncharacterized. The transcript has 3 exons. Lineage: Eukaryota; Metazoa; Chordata; Amphibia; Anura; Hylidae. The record is from RefSeq and is a predicted model, not a curated record.
GUUUCCUUUGCACAGGUUUUGAUAAAUCUCCCUCAUGGGCCUUGUUUACUAAGAGUGUUGUAUGUUAAGAGAUCCACAUAGCGGUCUGAUCCGGACGGAGAAGAAAAGGAAAGAGGACGUCGCUGAUCACAAAAGACGUCAUUGUGCUCCGUUUAGGUGUUGCCGCAGUACCAGUCUGUCUCCUGUGCCACCAGGAAGUCACAUUCACGUCACUUCUGAACCUCUCCUCCGUUACGAGCCGCACUGCUCUUGUUUUUCUUGGGAGAAAUUCGUUUUUUCUAAUUUCUCCCAAGGUUUUUCUGGACCUGAUGAAAAAAGGAAUUCCCUUUGAAACGCGUUGUCAUUUGU